GUGGACUCAAAGGUUUUCUCCCUGAGAGGCAGAGCCCAGGCCAGCUGAUUCAUCAGUAUCAGGAUGGACAUGGUAGAGGAUGCGGAUACUUUGCAGGAGUGAGGGGACAUCAUUAUGAAGCAUGAGAAGGUAGAGGGCAGUCUGCUCCCUGGAGGGAGGCCUCCUCCAGUGCACCCUGGUGAAAGGGUCCUGGGCUCCCUAGGAGCACAGAGCGGGGACAGGUGGCCCUUUCACCCUUUACCUUGGACCCCUCACCAAGGCUCCCACUGGGUUGCAGGGACACCAAGCUGGGCUGCCAGCAGACAUGGGGCCUGUGCCUGUUGGAAUCUACAGCAGUGCUGAUUGCUUUGGGAUUCUGCAUGAGACGGAGCUGCCCCCUGUCACUACCUGGAAGGUGAAGCAAAUGUGGCAGGAGAUGAGAUGAAAGAGCAAGUGGAUGGAAAUGCUGGGAGAAUGGGAGACAUAUCAGAACAGCAAAAAAGUCAUGAAGGAGAAGGGCAAGAGGUCCUCUGGACACAUCCACCAGAUCGACCUGGACAUGAGCCGGACAUUAAGGAACCACCUGUUCUUCAGGGACCGAUAUGGAGUCAAGUAAGCCUAUGGGAGCCACAGGGUCCCAGUGGAGAUGGGGUGAACCAGAGGGAUGGGGACUUCCCUGGAGCAGAAGCCAGGAUCACCCAGGAGGGAUGACAGAGCUGCCAAGAGCUCUCCUGUACCAGGGAGCAGCUGGUACCAUGGACCGAGCACCUCCCAAGUUCCAAGCCCUGGGCCAGACUGGAACACGUGGGGCCAGAACCCAGGAGGAUCCUGAGGAGACAGACGGCGGCAAAGAAAAUCAUGCACAAUGGUGAAAAGUGCUCUCCCUGACCCACAGGGACCCAUGGUAGGACCCACGGGAGGGCAGCAGGAUGGAGGGCCCAUGAGCUUCCCCAGGCAACACUGACAGGACCAAAAGCAGGGGGAGCUUGGGGUCCUGGAAACUCUCAUCCAGGUCUGCUGGGAACAUCACACGGCACAGCCACUUUGGCAGCCAGUUGUGCAGUGGCUCACAAAGUUCAAUGGACUUGAACCACAUGUCCCCAAAGUGUCACCGAUAUUGAACCCACUGAUUUGAAAACUGAUGUCCACAUGAAACCUGCAUGCCACAUUCACUGCUUGAUUCAUUGACACUCACACAUGGAGGCUACGGGAAUGACCUUCAACACGGGAACGCAGAGAGGAAGGGUGGUCCUCCCUUCAAAUGGCAGAAGAUUCAGAGAGAAAAGGGAACGAUCUAGUGAUGCCCACAUGAACAUGGGUGGAUCCUAGAUGCGUUUUGCUAAGGGAAAGAAGCCAGGCCCAAUAAGCUACCACAGUAGGAUUCCCAUUCCUAGACCAUUCUGGAAAAGGCCAAACCAUAGGGACCGAGAACUGGUCUGGGUGGCCAGAUGCUGACGGAUCAGGGAGAGGCUGGCUGCAUAGGGGCCACCCUGGAGACUUGGAGGAUGAAGGAGUCACUCCAGGAGGGGCUGGAGCAGUGGCCAGGAGAUUCUGCACAUCGGUUUAGAACCCUCCUUGCCCUGCA
RNAcentral lists this long non-coding RNA (1564 nucleotides) under Homo sapiens (human). RNAcentral's name for it is "non-protein coding lnc-NOS2-7:1". The record is from RNAcentral. Lineage: Eukaryota; Metazoa; Chordata; Mammalia; Primates; Hominidae.